UCAGAAGCGGGAUCCGAAGUGGAACUUCUAGCAGCCCCCCAGGACCACUGCAUGACCCACUUGUGUCCAUUGAUCUCUCAGAGCAGUUGGGGAUCCUGGGACAAUCCCUUCAUGAUCUAGAGCCUGAAGGUAGGAUCUUCUGAGAACAUCAGAAAAAGACUAUCUCUACCAUCCACACUACAGCAAAACUUUGGAGCCUUGAACCUUGGGUUCAUAAUCUCACAAUGGAGAAGGGUCCCUCCACACUCCUAGAACUGUACAUACAUUGGAACCCUUAAGGUAAAACUAACCAGGAAAGUUUCUCCCCAGAAGAAGAUGGCAUCCUUGAUGUAAACUGCUUUUCCCAAGAUCACUAAUCAAGACUUCUACUAUUGAGAGACUUAUCUUUGAAUAUAUUUUCCUUGUUUA
Molecule: long non-coding RNA, 408 nt
Filed under: Homo sapiens (human)
Lineage: Eukaryota; Metazoa; Chordata; Mammalia; Primates; Hominidae
Description: HSALNT0364486
Source: RNAcentral